Molecule: ribosomal RNA, 297 nt
Filed under: uncultured Pseudomonadota bacterium
Lineage: Bacteria; Pseudomonadati; Pseudomonadota
Description: uncultured proteobacterium partial 16S ribosomal RNA
Rfam family: Bacterial small subunit ribosomal RNA
Source: RNAcentral
AACGAACGCUGGCGGCAGGCUUAACACAUGCAAGUCGAACGGUUGUAGCAAUACAGCAGUGGCAGACGGGUGAGUAACACGUGGGAACCUUCCUAGGGGUACGGAACAACUCAGGGAAACUUGAGCUAAUACCGUAUACGUCCGUGAGGAGAAAGAUUUAUCGCCCUUAGACGGGCCCGCGUAGGAUUAGGUAGUUGGUGAGGUAACGGCUCACCAAGCCUACGAUCCUUAGCUGAUCUGAGAGGAUGAUCAGCCACACUGGGACUGAGACACGGCCCAGACUCCUACGGGAGGCAG